GAUGAACGCUGGCGGCGUGCCUAAUACAUGCCAGUCGAGCGAACAGACGAGGAGCUUGCUCCUUCGACGUUAGCGGCGGACGGGUGAGUAACACGUAGGUAACCUACCUAUAAGACUGGGAUAACUUCGGGAAACCGGAGCUAAUACCGGAUAAUAUUUCGAACCGCAUGGUUCGAUAGUGAAAGAUGGCUUUGCUAUCACUUAUAGAUGGACCUGCGCCGUAUUAGCUAGUUGGUAAGGUAACGGCUUACCAAGGCAACGAUACGUAGCCGACCUGAGAGGGUGAACGGCCACACUGGAACUGAGACACGGUCCAGACUCCUACGGGAGGCAGCAGUAGGGAAUCUUCCGCAAUGGGCGAAAGCCUGACGGAGCAACGCCGCGUGAGUGAUGAAGGUCUUCGGAUCGUAAAACUCUGUUAUUAGGGAAGAACAAACGUGUAAGUAACUGUGCACGUCUUGACGGUACCUAAUCAGAAAGCCACGGCUAACUACGUG
Molecule: ribosomal RNA, 497 nt
Filed under: uncultured bacterium
Lineage: Bacteria
Description: partial 16S ribosomal RNA
Rfam family: Bacterial small subunit ribosomal RNA
Source: RNAcentral